CCUACGGGAUGCUGCAGUCGAGAAUCAUUCACAAUGGGGGAAACCCUGAUGGUGCGACGCCGCGUGGGGGAAUGAAGGUCUUCGGAUUGUAAACCCCUGUCAUGUGGGAGCAAAUUAAAAAGAUAGUACCACAAGAGGAAGAGACGGCUAACUCUGUGCCAGCAGCCGCGGUAAUACAGAGGUCUCAAGCGUUGUUCGGAAUCACUGGGCGUAAAGCGUGCGUAGGCUGUUUCGUAAGUCGUGUGUGAAAGGCGCGGGCUCAACCCGCGGACGGCACAUGAUACUGCGAGACUAGAGUAAGGGAGGGGGAACCGGAAUUCUCGGUGUAGCAGUGAAAUGCGUAGAUAUCGAGAGGAACACUCGUGGCGAAGGCGGGUUCCUGGACAUUAACUGACGCUGAGGCACGAAGGCCAGGGGAGCGAAAGGGAUUAGAUACCCCAGUAGUC
This 446-nucleotide ribosomal RNA is filed under the name uncultured bacterium. Its description in RNAcentral is "partial 16S ribosomal RNA". It matches the Rfam family "Bacterial small subunit ribosomal RNA", at positions 338 to 795 of the family's 1533-position model. The record is from RNAcentral.